UGGGGAAUAUUGCACAAUGGGCGCAAGCCUGAUGCAGCCAUGCCGCGUGUGUGAAGAAGGCCUUCGGGUUGUAAAGCACUUUCAGCGAGGAGGAAGGUGGUGAACUUAAUACGUUCAUCAAUUGACGUUACUCGCAGAAGAAGCACCGGCUAACUCCGUGCCAGCAGCCGCGGUAAUACGGAGGGUGCAAGCGUUAAUCGGAAUUACUGGGCGUAAAGCGCACGCAGGCGGUUUGUUAAGUCAGAUGUGAAAUCCCCGGGCUCAACCUGGGAACUGCAUUUGAAACUGGCAAGCUAGAGUCUCGUAGAGGGGGGUAGAAUUCCAGGUGUAGCGGUGAAAUGCGUAGAGAUCUGGAGGAAUACCGGUGGCGAAGGCGGCCCCCCUGGACGAAGACUGACGCUCAGGUGCGAAAGCGUGGGGAGCAAACAGAUUAGAUACCCUGGUGGUCCACGCUGUAAACGAUGUCGAUUUUGGAGGUUGUGCCCUUGAGGCGUGGNUUCCGGAGCUAACG
RNAcentral lists this ribosomal RNA (511 nucleotides) under uncultured bacterium. RNAcentral describes it as "partial 16S ribosomal RNA". It matches the Rfam family "Bacterial small subunit ribosomal RNA", at positions 355 to 857 of the family's 1533-position model. The record is from RNAcentral.